CACUAUCGUUAACUGAAUACAUAGGUUAACGAGGCGAACCGGGGGAACUGAAACAUCUAAGUACCCCGAGGAAAAGAAAUCAACCGAGAUUCCCCCAGUAGCGGCGAGCGAACGGGGAGCAGCCCAGAGUCUGAAUCAGCUUGUGUGUUAGUGGAACGGUCUGGAAAGUCCGACGGUACAGGGUGAUAGUCCCGUACACCAAAAUGCACAGGCUGUGAACUCGAAGAGUAGGGCGGGACACGUGGUAUCCUGUCUGAAUAUGGGGGGACCAUCCUCCAAGGCUAAAUACUCCUGACUGACCGAUAGUGAACCAGUACCGUGAGGGAAAGGCGAAAAGAACCCCGGCGAGGGGAGUGAAAAAGAACCUGAAACCGUGUACGUACAAGCAGUGGGAGCACCUUUAUGGUGUGACUGCGUACCUUUUGUAUAAUGGGUCAGCGACUUAUAUUCUGUAGCAAGGUUAACCGUAUAGGGGAGCCGCAGGGAAACCGAGUCUUAACUGGGCGUUAAGUUGCAGGGUAUAGACCCGAAACCCGGUGAUCUAGCCAUGGGCAGGUUGAAGGUUGGGUAACACUAACUGGAGGACCGAACCGACUAAUGUUGAAAAAUUAGCGGAUGACUUGUGGCUGGGGGUGAAAGGCCAAUCAAACCGGGAGAUAGCUGGUUCUCCCCGAAAGCUAUUUAGGUAGCGCCUCGUGAAUUCAUCUUCGGGGGUAGAGCACUGUUUCGGCUAGGGGGUCAUCCCGACUUACCAACCCGAUGCAAACUACGAAUACCGAAGAAUGUUAUCACGGGAGACACACGGCGGGUGCUAACGUCCGUCGUGAAGAGGGAAACAACCCAGACCGCCAGCUAAGGUCCCAAAGUCAUGGUUAAGUGGGAAACGAUGUGGGAAGGCACAGACAGCCAGGAUGUUGGCUUAGAAGCAGCCAUCAUUUAAAGAAAGCGUAAUAGCUCACUGGUCGAGUCGGCCUGCGCGGAAGAUGUAACGGGGCUAAACCAUGCACCGAAGCUGCGGCAGCGACACUAUGUGUUGUUGGGUAGGGGAGCGUUCUGUAAGCCUGCGAAGGUGACCUGUGAGGGUUGCUGGAGGUAUCAGAAGUGCGAAUGCUGACAUAAGUAACGAUAAAGCGGGUGAAAAGCCCGCUCGCCGGAAGACCAAGGGUUCCUGUCCAACGUUAAUCGGGGCAGGGUGAGUCGACCCCUAAGGCGAGGCCGAAAGGCGUAGUCGAUGGGAAACAGGUUAAUAUUCCUGUACUUGGUGUUACUGCGAAGGGGGGACGGAGAAGGCUAUGUUAGCCGGGCGACGGUUGUCCCGGUUUAAGCAUGUAGGCUGAUUAUCCAGGCAAAUCCGGAUAAUCAAGGCUGAGGUGUGAUGACGAGGCACUACGGUGCUGAAGUAACAAAUGCCCUGCUUCCAGGAAAAGCCUCUAAGCAUCAGGUAACAUCAAAUCGUACCCCAAACCGACACAGGUGGUCAGGUAGAGAAUACCAAGGCGCUUGAGAGAACUCGGGUGAAGGAACUAGGCAAAAUGGUGCCGUAACUUCGGGAGAAGGCACGCUGGUGUGUAGGUGAAGUCCCUGCGGAUGGAGCUGAGACCAGUCGAAGAUACCAGCUGGCUGCAACUGUUUAUUAAAAACACAGCACUGUGCAAACACGAAAGUGGACGUAUACGGUGUGACGCCUGCCCGGUGCCGGAAGGUUAAUUGAUGGGGUUAUCCGUAAGGAGAAGCUCUUGAUCGAAGCCCCGGUAAACGGCGGCCGUAACUAUAACGGUCCUAAGGUAGCGAAAUUCCUUGUCGGGUAAGUUCCGACCUGCACGAAUGGCGUAAUGAUGGCCAGGCUGUCUCCACCCGAGACUCAGUGAAAUUGAACUCGCUGUGAAGAUGCAGUGUACCCGCGGCAAGACGGAAAGACCCCGUGAACCUUUACUAUAGCUUGACACUGAACAUUGAGCCUUGAUGUGUAGGAUAGGUGGGAGGCUUUGAAGCGUGGACGCCAGUCUGCGUGGAGCCAACCUUGAAAUACCACCCUUUAAUGUUUGAUGUUCUAACGUUGGCCCCUUACCGGGGUUGCGGACAGUGUCUGGUGGGUAGUUUGACUGGGGCGGUCUCCUCCCAAAGCGUAACGGAGGAGCACGAAGGUUAGCUAAUCCUGGUCGGACAUCAGGAGGUUAGUGCAAUGGCAUAAGCUAGCUUGACUGCGAGCGUGACGGCGCGAGCAGGUGCGAAAGCAGGUCAUAGUGAUCCGGUGGUUCUGAAUGGAAGGGCCAUCGCUCAACGGAUAAAAGGUACUCCGGGGAUAACAGGCUGAUACCGCCCAAGAGUUCAUAUCGACGGCGGUGUUUGGCACCUCGAUGUCGGCUCAUCACAUCCUGGGGCUGAAGUAGGUCCCAAGGGUAUGGCUGUUCGCCAUUUAAAGUGGUACGCGAGCUGGGUUUAGAACGUCGUGAGACAGUUCGGUCCCUAUCUGCCGUGGGCGCUGGAGAAUUGAGGGGGGCUGCUCCUAGUACGAGAGGACCGGAGUGGACGCAUCACUGGUGUUCGGGUUGUCAUGCCAAUGGCACUGCCCGGUAGCUAAAUGCGGAAGAGAUAAGUGCUGAAAGCAUCUAAGCACGAAACUUGCCCCGAGAUGAGUUCUCCCUGAGACUUUAAGUCUCCUGAAGGAACGUUGAAGACGACGACGUUGAUAGGCCGGGUGUGUAAGCGCAGCGAUGCGUUGAGCUAACCGGUACUAAUGAACCGUGAGGCUUAACCUUACAACGCCGAAG
This 2771-nucleotide ribosomal RNA is filed under the name Klebsiella quasipneumoniae subsp. similipneumoniae. RNAcentral describes it as "partial 23S ribosomal RNA". It matches the Rfam family "Bacterial large subunit ribosomal RNA". The record is from RNAcentral. Lineage: Bacteria; Pseudomonadati; Pseudomonadota; Gammaproteobacteria; Enterobacterales; Enterobacteriaceae.